Eptesicus fuscus (big brown bat) is the source of this 591-nucleotide long non-coding RNA. RefSeq lists it as uncharacterized. The record is from RefSeq and is a predicted model, not a curated record. Lineage: Eukaryota; Metazoa; Chordata; Mammalia; Chiroptera; Vespertilionidae. The transcript has 4 exons.
GGUAGAUGACAUUACCCCCAGACUACAGGGAGGUGGCCAAGCAUCCAUAGAACUCCCACGUCAGGACUGACUCAGUCAUUCUGACACAGGAAGUUGGGUGGAACUCGCCCUCUUUACAAGACCCUUGACUCUCCCAACCCAAACCCAAGGUCAAAUAUUAACUAUGUGGCCUUGAAGAGAGGGGAGGGACCAGGAGCUGGCCAGAGGAAGAACAGGAAUUUGGAGCGUUUAUUUAAGAGCUCGAGGACAAGCUCUCCUAUCCCGCCUGACAUCAGGAGACGUGACCCAGAUCCCGAGAACACUGUUCGCCAAGCGGCCCCCGCCCUGCACCGAUCCCCGACUCCACGUUCGCAGCUCACCUUGGACAUCUUUCUCACUCCAGACCUCUCAGUGAACUCCUAGGCAGUGCAAUAGCCUGUCCUUCCCAAGCUCAGUCACCUUCCUCAGCAGCAAUCUAGGAGGCCCUCUCAGAAUCAACUCCCCAACUCCUUUACUUCAACUAGGAUGGUCCUCCCACACCAUCUUGGGCCCUUCAGUUUCCCCUCAAUUGAGGCCGUGCCUUCUUCCCAGCAUUAAAGGCCUUUCUAGGGU